AGAGUUUGAUCCUGGCUCAGGACGAACGCUGACGGUGUGCUUUAGACAUGCAAGUCGAACGAGAAAGCCCUUCGGGGUGAGUACAGUGGCGAACGGGUGAGUAACACGUGGGCAAUCUGCCCCUCGCAGGGGGACAACCGGGGGAAACCCCGGCUAAUACCCCGUACGCUUACGGAGCCGCAUGGCUCCGUAAGGAAAGGUAGCUUCGGCCAUCCGGCGAGGGAUGAGCCCGCGGUACAUUAGCUAGUUGGUGAGGUAACGGCUCACCAAGGCGACGAUGUAUAGCUGGUCUGAGAGGAUGAUCAGCCACACUGGGACUGAGACACGGCCCAGACUCCUACGGGAGGCAGCAGUCGGGAAUCUUGCGCAAUGGGCGAAAGCCUGACGCAGCAACACCGUGUGAGCGACGAAGGCCUUCGGGUCGUAAAGCUCUGUUGUUGGGGACGAAGGGUUAGGGGUUAAUAGCCCCGAGCCUGACGGUACCCUUCGAGGAAGCCCCGGCUAACUACGUGCCAGCAGCGGCGGUAAUUC
This 531-nucleotide ribosomal RNA is filed under the name uncultured bacterium. RNAcentral's name for it is "bacterial SSU rRNA". It matches the Rfam family "Bacterial small subunit ribosomal RNA", at positions 8 to 526 of the family's 1533-position model. The record is from RNAcentral.